UCCGUAGGUGAACCUGCGGAAGGAUCAUUCGCACGCGUCCAAUCAAUACCACUGUGAAAUCUUGGCGUGAGGUUCGGCUUGAGGAUGGAGAUUGCAUCAAUGCCCUCUAGCUGAAGCUCAAAGGCGACUGGGCUGGAUGGGUGCUUGCCACCUCCUUUCAGUCUUUGUCGUCACCAACCUUUUGCUUUCAGCUUGCAUCUGCGUUUUUACUUUCUGAAGUGGUUGCCCACCUUCUUCUUACAACUUUCAGUGAUCGAUGUCUCGGCUCGAGCAAUGAUGAAGGGCGCAGCGAAGUGUGAUAAGCAUUGUGAAUUGCAGGAUUCCGUGAGCCAAUAGGGACUUGAACGUACACUGCGCUUUCGGGAUAUCCCUGAAAGCAUGCCUGCUUCAGUGUCCAUGUCAUUCAUUCCGGCAACAUGCCCUCUUUGUUGUGGUACCGUUGCCUGCGUGUGCUUGUGCGUUAGGGUGCUGUGCUGCCUCUGACGCGCUGAACCCAUGGGGAUUCCUCUUUGGCGCACAACUUGUUAAGCAUCUUGGAUGUAUUCAGUUGUCGUGCUCUUGGGGCAAGCCUCCUGAUGUAGUGCGGAUCGCACAUCUGAAGACAUGAAGUUAGGUCAGCAAACCCGCUGAAUUUAAGCAUAUCAAUA
Molecule: ribosomal RNA, 647 nt
Filed under: uncultured eukaryote
Lineage: Eukaryota
Description: eukaryotic LSU rRNA
Rfam family: 5.8S ribosomal RNA (bases 242-396)
Source: RNAcentral